GACGAACGCUGGCGGCGUGCUUAACACAUACAAGUCGAGCGGUAAGGCCUCUUCGGGGGUACACGAGCGGCGAACGGGUGAGUAACACGUGGGUGACCUGCCCUUCACUCUGGGAUAAGCCUGGGAAACUGGGUCUAAUACCGGAUAUUCACUACUUGUUGCAUGAUGGGGUGGUGGAAAGUCCUGGGCUUAAUUGCCUGGGCUCGGGUGGGGGAUGGGCCCGCGGCCUAUCAGCUUGUUGGUGGGGGAUGGCCUACCAAGGCGACGGACGGGUAGCCGGCCUGA
This 285-nucleotide ribosomal RNA is filed under the name uncultured bacterium. RNAcentral describes it as "partial 16S ribosomal RNA". It matches the Rfam family "Bacterial small subunit ribosomal RNA", at positions 28 to 295 of the family's 1533-position model. The record is from RNAcentral.